AAUGAACGUUGGCGGCGUGGAUUAGGCAUGCAAGUCGAGCGAGAAGGGUUUGGUGCUUGCAUUGAACCUGGAAAGCGGCGAAAGGGAGAGUAACGCGUAGGACACCUGCCCUCAGGCCUGGGAUAGCGGCGGGAAACUGCCGGUAAUACCGGAUAAUGUCUCCGGACCAAAGGUGUGAUUCCGCCUGGGGAUGGUCCUGCGUCCUAUUAGUUUGUUGGUGAGGUAAUGGCUCACCAAGACGAUGAUGGGUAGCGGGCGUGAGAGCGUGGCCCGUCUCACUGGGACUGAGACACUGCCCAGACACCUACGGGUGGCUGCAGUCGAGAAUCUUCCGCAAUGGACGCAAGUCUGACGGAGCGACGCCGCGUGCGGGAUGAAGGCCUUCGGGUUGUAACCGCUGUCAGUGGGGUGGAAUCGGUUUGGGGCUAUCCCUUCCGUUGACCUAACCGCAGAGGAAGUCCGGGCUAAGUACGUGCCAGCGCCGCGGUAA
Molecule: ribosomal RNA, 490 nt
Filed under: uncultured bacterium
Lineage: Bacteria
Description: bacterial SSU rRNA
Rfam family: Bacterial small subunit ribosomal RNA
Source: RNAcentral